RNAcentral lists this ribosomal RNA (253 nucleotides) under uncultured bacterium. Its description in RNAcentral is "partial 16S ribosomal RNA". It matches the Rfam family "Bacterial small subunit ribosomal RNA", at positions 524 to 776 of the family's 1533-position model. The record is from RNAcentral.
UACGGAGGGAGCAAACGUUGUUCGGAAUCACUGGGCAUAAAGAGCACGUAGGCGGCGACGCAAGUGGGGUGUGAAAUUUUUCGGCUUAACCGGAAAAGUGCAUCUUAUACUAUGUUGCUAGAGUGCGGUAGGGGUGAGUGGAACUCUAGGUGGAGCGGUGAAAUGCGUUGAUAUCUAGAGGAACACCGGAGGCGAAGGCGACUCACUGGACCGCUACUGACGCUGAGGUGCGAAAGCUAGGGGAGCAAACAGG